CCUACGGGGGGCAGCAGUGGGGGAUAUUGCACAAUGGGGGGAACCCUGAUGCAGCGACGCCGCGUGGGUGAAGGAGUAUUUCGGUAUGUAAAGCCCUAUCGGCAGGGAAGAAUUUAGACGGUACCUGACUAAGAAGCCCCGGCUAACGACGUGCCAGCAGCCGCGGUAAUACGUAGGGGGCAAGCGUUAUCCGGAUUCACUGGGUGUAAAGGGAGCGUAGACGGCCAGGCAAGCCUGGAGUGAACGCCGGGGGCCUAACCCCGGAACUGCUCUGGAAACUGUCCGGCUGGAGGGCGGGAGGGGCAGGCGGAAUUCCUGGUGUAGGGGUAAAAUGCGUAGAGAUCAGGAGGAAGACCGGCGGCGAAGGCGACCUGCUGGACCACGACUGACGUUGAGGCUCGAAAGCGUGGGGAGCGAACAGGAUUAGAUACCCCUGUAGUC
RNAcentral lists this ribosomal RNA (441 nucleotides) under uncultured bacterium. Its description in RNAcentral is "partial 16S ribosomal RNA". It matches the Rfam family "Bacterial small subunit ribosomal RNA", at positions 338 to 795 of the family's 1533-position model. The record is from RNAcentral.